AGAGUUUGAUUCUGGCUCAGAACGAACGCUGGCAGCGUGGAUUAGGCACGCAAGUCGAACGAGAAUCCGCGGCUUCAAGUUUUCGGACGAGAAGUUGUGGAGGACAGUGGCGGAAGGGUGAGUAACGCGUGGGCAACCUGCCCCCAAGAUGGGGAUAACCCCGCGAAAGCGGGACUAAUACCGAAUGUGGUAUUCCAGGGCAUCCUGGGAUUACUGAAGCUGGGGACCCUUCGGGGCCUGGCGCUUGGGGAGGGGCCCGCGUACCAUCAGCUAGUUGGUGAGGUAACGGCCCACCAAGGCUUACGGUUAGCUGGUCUGAGAGGAUGGUCAGCCACACUGGGACUGAGACACUGCCCAGACUCCUACGGGAGGCUGCAGUCGAGGAUCAUCUGCAAUGGGCGCAAGCCUGACAGUGCGACGCUGCGUGGAGGAUGACGGCCUUCGGGUUGUAAACUCCUGUCAUGAGGGAACAACCGUUCGGGUGUGAAUAGCACCCGGACCUGAUGGUACCUCAAGAGGAAGCCACGGCUAACUCUGUGCCAGCAGCCGCGGUAAUACAGAGGUGGCGAGCGUUGUUCGGAUUUACUGGGCGUAAAGGGCGCGUAGGCGGUUUUGUAUGUCUGGCGUGAAAUCCCAUGGCUCAACUGUGGAAUUGCACCAGAAACCACAAGACUAGAGUGCAGGAGGGGAGAGCGGAAUUCUUGGUGUAGCGGUGAAAUGCGUUGAUAUCAAGAAGAACGCCGGUGGCGAAGGCGGCUCUCUGGAAUGCAACUGACGCUGAGGCACGAAAGCUGGGGGAGCAAACAGGAUUAGAUACCCUGGUAGUCCCAGCCCUAAACGGUGUGCACUUGGUGUGGGAGGAAUUGACCCCUUCCGUGCCGGAGCUAACGCGUUAAGUGCACCGCCUGGGAAGUACGGCCGCAAGGUUGAAACUCAAAGAAAUUGACGGGGGCCCGCACAAGCGGAGGAGCAUGUGGCUCAAUUCGAUGCAACGCGAAGAACCUUACCAGGGCUUGACAUGUAGCUGCAGGCCCCGCGAAAGUGGGGCGGCCUUCGAGGGUGCUACACAGGUGCUGCAUGGCUGUCGUCAGUUCGUGCCGUGAGGUGUUGGGUUAAGUCCCGCAACGCACGCAACCCCUGUGGCUAGUUGCUAUCCCCGUUCUGCGGGGAGCACUCUAACCAGACUGCCCGUGCAAUCGGGAGGAAGGUGGGGACGACGUCAAGUCAGUAUGGCCUUUAUGCCCUGGGCUGCACACGUGCUACAAUGGUCGGUACAGAAGGAUGCAAGACCGCAAGGUGGAGCAAAUCCCCAAAACCGGCCCCAGUUCGGAUUGAAGGCUGCAACUCGCCUUCAUGAAGCUGGAUUCGCUAGUAAUGGCGCAUCAGCUACGGCGCCGUGAAUACGUUCCCGGGCCUUGUACACACCGCCCGUCACAUCAUGAAAGCCGUCUGCACCCGAAGUCGCUAUGAGAGCAUUCGUGCUUGGAGGCGCCGAAGGUGUGGGUGGUGAUUGGGAUGAAGUCGUAACAAGGUA
This 1534-nucleotide ribosomal RNA is filed under the name metagenome. RNAcentral's name for it is "bacterial SSU rRNA". It matches the Rfam family "Bacterial small subunit ribosomal RNA". The record is from RNAcentral.